AGAUUGAACGCUGGCGGCAUGCUUUACACAUGCAAGUCGAACGGUAACAGGCCGCAAGGUGCUGACGAGUGGCGAACGGGUGAGUAAUGUAUCGGAACGUGCCCAGUCGUGGGGGAUAACGCAGCGAAAGCUGCGCUAAUACCGCAUACGAUCUAUGGAUGGAAAGCGGGGGACCGUAAGGCCUCGCGCGA
This 191-nucleotide ribosomal RNA is filed under the name uncultured soil bacterium. RNAcentral's name for it is "partial 16S ribosomal RNA". It matches the Rfam family "Bacterial small subunit ribosomal RNA", at positions 26 to 220 of the family's 1533-position model. The record is from RNAcentral.